CAGCAUGGUCUUAGCUUGCUAAGGCCGAUGGCGACCGGCGCACGGGUGAGUAACACGUAUCCAACCUGCCUGAUACCGGGGUAUAGCCCAUGGAAACGUGGAUUAACACCCCAUAGUACUUUUAUCCUGCAUGGGAUGUGAGUUAAAUGUUCAAGGUAUCGGAUGGGCAUGCGUCCUAUUAGUUAGUUGGCGGGGUAACAGCCCACCAAGACGAUGAUAGGUAGGGGUUCUGAGAGGAAGGUCCCCACAUUGGAACUGAGACACGGUCCAAACUCC
This 276-nucleotide ribosomal RNA is filed under the name uncultured bacterium. RNAcentral describes it as "partial 16S ribosomal RNA". It matches the Rfam family "Bacterial small subunit ribosomal RNA", at positions 68 to 339 of the family's 1533-position model. The record is from RNAcentral.